ACCACGCUUCAGAUGCGUCCCUGCCUUGCAAUGGUGCAGCUGGACAAAGUUUAGACCUACACCAAGCACAAAUGAAUCCUUUGCCCAAUGUAGAUGGUCCUUUGCCCAAUGUCAGUGCUGGGAACAAUGUUUCACGGGGUCGGAGUGUUCAUCGGGAAGUUAGCAGGCAUGCCAGGGUGUUAGUGGUGUGGCGAACGAGGCUGGAGGUAAUGUCCAUGUAGCGCUAGCUUCUGUCUUCUGACCGUGUGCUUCUCCGCAAUCACGGCGACAGUAACGUGGUGCAGCCUUUGUCUAAUGCCACUGGGUAUGUUAGACGAGGUCG
Molecule: long non-coding RNA, 322 nt
Organism: Alosa sapidissima (American shad)
Lineage: Eukaryota; Metazoa; Chordata; Actinopteri; Clupeiformes; Clupeidae
Exons: 3
Source: RefSeq, a predicted model, not a curated record